CUGCCACUGAGGAGUCCCAUACUAGGACGAAACGGCCGUCUAGUAC
Molecule: non-coding RNA, 46 nt
Filed under: Schistosoma curassoni
Lineage: Eukaryota; Metazoa; Platyhelminthes; Trematoda; Strigeidida; Schistosomatidae
Source: RNAcentral